UUGUUAUACCCCUUCCAAAUUUAUUUCUCCAUGUUUUAUGCCUCAUAUUGCAAGUUGGGGGGUGAAAUGACACUGUAAAAAAAUUGGGGUCAUAAAUAUUAAUGUAAAGUAGUGAUUAGGUCCAGCUGAAAAAGGUCAAAAAUUAGCACUUCGGAAGCUGUCAAAAGAUUUCAAGACCCCCUCAACAUACAAUUGUCCAUAUUUUGAGUUAGAGCUGAUGAAGUUUUCUAUAAUUUUGAUAUAAUUUGUCCCAAUAGUAGUACAAC
This 266-nucleotide long non-coding RNA is filed under the name Mytilus galloprovincialis (Mediterranean mussel). Lineage: Eukaryota; Metazoa; Mollusca; Bivalvia; Mytilida; Mytilidae. The record is from RNAcentral.